UACGGAGGGUGCAAGCGUUAUCCGGAUUUACUGGGUUUAAAGGGUGUGUAGGCGGGCCUUUAAGUCUGGGGUGAAAUCUCCGAGCUCAACUCGGAAACUGCCCUGGAUACUAUCGGCCUUGAAUUAUGUUGAGGUUGGCGGAAUAUAACAUGUAGCGGUGAAAUGCAUAGAUAUGUUAUAGAACACCGAUUGCGAAGGCAGCUGACUAAGCAUAUAUUGACGCUGAGGCACGAAAGCGUGGGGAUCAAACAGG
This 253-nucleotide ribosomal RNA is filed under the name uncultured bacterium. RNAcentral describes it as "partial 16S ribosomal RNA". It matches the Rfam family "Bacterial small subunit ribosomal RNA", at positions 524 to 776 of the family's 1533-position model. The record is from RNAcentral.